CCUACGGGAGGCUGCAGUGGGGAAUAUUGGACAAUGCGGGGAACCCUGAUCCAGCCAUGCCGCGUGUGUGAAGAAGGCCCUCGGGUUGUAAAGCACUUUCAGUGAGGAAGAACGCCUGGUGGUUAAUACCCAUCAGGAAAGACAUCACUCACAGAAGAAGCACCGGCUAACUCCGUGCCAGCAGCCGCGGUAAUACGGAGGGUGCGAGCGUUAAUCGGAAUUACUGGGCGUAAAGCGCGCGUAGGUGGCUUGAUAAGCCGGUUGUGAAAGCCCCGGGCUCAACCUGGGAACGGCAUCCGGAACUGUCAAGCUAGAGUGCAGGAGAGGAAGGUAGAAUUCCCGGUGUAGCGGUGAAAUGCGUAGAGAUCGGGAGGAAUACCAGUGGCGAAGGCGGCCUUCUGGACUGACACUGACACUGAGGUGCGAAAGCGUGGGUAGCAAACAGGAUUAGAUACCCUAGUAGUC
Molecule: ribosomal RNA, 465 nt
Filed under: Vreelandella stevensii
Lineage: Bacteria; Pseudomonadati; Pseudomonadota; Gammaproteobacteria; Oceanospirillales; Halomonadaceae
Description: partial 16S ribosomal RNA
Rfam family: Bacterial small subunit ribosomal RNA
Source: RNAcentral